ACUACUCUAUUGCCAUCUACCCAACAAAUUUUAUUACGAAGGAAAUAAAAUUAAUUGCGAUAACUUCUUUCUUAAGUUGUUAGAACUUGUCACACAUUUGCGCGUCUCUUUAAUUUAAUUCAAAUGUUGACGAGUUUAUCAUCGCGUGAUAUAACACGUUUUUAAAUAAAUUAUUUAUUCAAAUGACAUCAACUUCUAUUUUAUUCACCGCGAACGCUGAUAUAUGUGUCACAUAAUUAUUUCCGGACAAUUAUAGAUACACUUGGAAUGAUAAUAGCUCGAGGUUUUAAGUCAAGUUCUGGGCAGAUGCCGUACCGAGAUCUCAGAAAGUCAUUUCCGGUGUUUUGAAGAUCAUGUCCGAGCUACGCAUGCUGCGGGUCACAGCAGUAGCAGCAGCAGCAGCAGCAGAAGGCUCCAUUCACUCGCUCAAAGUUAGUUGGCGACGAUUCGUCAGCUAAAACUUGUUCAAAUAGGAUCAAUUGAUUUUUCGAUUCCCUUCAAAAGGAUUCUGGCAAUUAGAGGAAGAGUAUCAACUACAUACAUAAAAGAUACAGAUAUAUAUAAAAAAAUAUGAUGAUAACGAGGUCAAACACGAGGCGGAAUUUAUGCUGCGUUUCACCAGCUCCCGGUGGAUCUAUAAAUGCAAUCGGUUUGAAUAUUCAGUCAGUAAAACACCAGGUUUAACGAGUUUUGAAGGGGUCUACGACAUGGUUGUGAAAAUAUGUAUACACAUAUAUAUGAAGGGUCAAAAGUUUCAUAUCUCGAUUCUUGAGCUUUAAAUCAACUGGUAUAUCUCCGCCCAUUUCGUCACCAUUCAUUUUCGUAUGCUCAUCGUGGUUAAUUAAUAGUCACGAAUAAAUUGGUCAAUUAAAUAAUUAUCUCUUGUGAGAGUAAGAUGGCGGCGUUGCGUGUCAAAUAGUCGUAUCGAUUCAUGGGCUAAAUUUGUGUUUGUGUAUCCGUGUGAUCAUCAAGUGACACAGGCAUAUUUUAAUUCAAAUUUAAAUUUAAAUUCGUGUUUAUUUUCGACUCUGGUCUUUAGGAUCCGAGUAAACUGAGGGAAUCUUGGGCUCGUAAAAUUCGUCCCGAGGAAACGGGCUCGAGUUUAUAAGGGUCUCAGAUUUUAUGAGAUAUUUAAUAGUUUUUAUGUUUGACGUUUAAAAUUAUUCGGUUCACUGUCUAAUUAAAUAUAUUUAUUUUUUAAAUUAUCUAAUAAUUUGGUGUUUUCAUUAAUUAAUUAGUUAAUUAAUUAUUGGGGCGAUAAAAAUUUGUUUAAUAAAUCAUUUCGGUUAAUUAAUUUAAAAAUGAAAAAUAUAUAUUUUUCUCAUGAAUUUUUUAUUGUUUACGUGUUUAAUAGUCUAAAUUAAUUAGCUAGUUUAUUUUAACAUAUUCUGAACUUCCUCAAUUAAAAUCACGCCUAAGUGGAUUGUCGUUUUUUUUUUAUGACCAAUUAAAUGCUUUUAAUCCCAAGGCCGAUAGUAUUAAGAGUUUUAUAAAAAUAUAAAUUAAAAUAAUUUAUUUGUAAAUAAAAAUUAAAAAUAUUUACAAAUAAUAACGUUAAUAUUUAUAAUGACGGUUAUAGAAAUAAUGAUAAUAAUAAUAAUAAAUGAAUAAUAAUUACAGGAAUAAAAAAAAUUAUUUUAAAAAUAAUUAGAGGAGAUUACUGAGAAUGAGGCUGAUGGACUUUGAAA
Molecule: long non-coding RNA, 1688 nt
Organism: Microplitis mediator
Lineage: Eukaryota; Metazoa; Arthropoda; Insecta; Hymenoptera; Braconidae
Exons: 6
Source: RefSeq, a predicted model, not a curated record